AUGGGUCCCUGGAGUUGAAGUGAUUUAGGGAAAAAAAAUUCAUUCAUUAUUAUUAUUUUCCCCAAGUAGCACUCUGGUGCUGGGUGAGAGGGAUGCUGGUAGUUGCGUGAGAAGCAGCAGAAAUGAGGAGGAAGGAAGAAACUAGGAAGGAAGGAAUAUUUGAUUAUUUCUUCAUAAACAACCAAUUCCUUUAGCACCUGCUAUGGUUCCCACUGCUGUGAGAGGAAUAUCAAUGGCUUCAAUAUUCCAUUAUUUGUGGCUGGGAAGUAUUUGCCUGCUGUUCUGGGUGGCUUAGUUUUCAGACUGGCCAUAGGGCAGAAAAUGUGGCAGAUGUAAAAGGAAAAUGUUGGUCAACCUGCCCUAAAUCAGGCUGUAUAAAUCUCAUGAGAAUGCAGCUCAUUCCAAGAACAUAAAUUCCUACAUCUUUGUGGCAGAUAUCACAUGUGGCCCUUUGUAUCAACUAACUGAACAAACCUCAAGAGAUGCAGGCCAUCUUAAUGGCCAGAAUUUAUGUUCAAAAGCAGAGGAAUCAUGUGCUCCAAGCAGGAAACCAUUUUAUGACUAUUUCCUCGCCAGCAUGAUG
This is a long non-coding RNA of Cebus imitator (Panamanian white-faced capuchin), 583 nucleotides long. RefSeq lists it as uncharacterized. The record is from RefSeq and is a predicted model, not a curated record. Lineage: Eukaryota; Metazoa; Chordata; Mammalia; Primates; Cebidae. The transcript has 3 exons.